Molecule: ribosomal RNA, 491 nt
Filed under: uncultured bacterium
Lineage: Bacteria
Description: partial 16S ribosomal RNA
Rfam family: Bacterial small subunit ribosomal RNA
Source: RNAcentral
AGUGAACGCUGGCGGUAGGCCUAACACAUGCAAGUCGAACGGCAGCACAGUAAGAGCUUGCUCUUACGGUGGCGAGUGGCGGACGGGUGAGGAAUACAUCGGAAUCUACUUUUUCGUGGGGGAUAACGUAGGGAAACUUACGCUAAUACCGCAUACGACCUACGGGUGAAAGCAGGGGAUCUUCGGACCUUGCGCGAUUGAAUGAGCCGAUGUCGGAUUAGCUAGUUGGCGGGGUAAAGGCCCACCAAGGCGACGAUCCGUAGCUGGUCUGAGAGGAUGAUCAGCCACACUGGAACUGAGACACGGUCCAGACUCCUACGGGAGGCAGCAGUGGGGAAUAUUGGACAAUGGGCGCAAGCCUGAUCCAGCCAUACCGCGUGGGUGAAGAAGGCCUUCGGGUUGUAAAGCCCUUUUGUUGGGAAAGAAAAGCAGCAGGUUAAUACCCCGCUGUUCUGACGGUACCCAAAGAAUAAGCACCGGCUAACUUCGUG